Molecule: transfer RNA, 67 nt
Filed under: Marmota monax (woodchuck)
Lineage: Eukaryota; Metazoa; Chordata; Mammalia; Rodentia; Sciuridae
Description: tRNA.Ala
Rfam family: tRNA
About the family: Transfer RNA (tRNA) molecules are approximately 80 nucleotides in length. Their secondary structure includes four short double-helical elements and three loops (D, anti-codon, and T loops). Further hydrogen bonds mediate the characteristic L-shaped molecular structure. tRNAs have two regions of fundamental functional importance: the anti-codon, which is responsible for specific mRNA codon recognition, and the 3' end, to which the tRNAs corresponding amino acid is attached (by aminoacyl-tRNA synthetases). tRNAs cope with the degeneracy of the genetic code in two manners: having more than one tRNA (with a specific anti-codon) for a particular amino acid; and 'wobble' base-pairing, i.e. permitting non-standard base-pairing at the 3rd anti-codon position.
Source: RNAcentral
GGUUGUGGCUCAGCGGUAGAGCACUCACCUAGCAUGUGUGAGGCCCUGGGUUCAAUCCUAAGCACCA